Molecule: unclassified non-coding RNA, 269 nt
Filed under: plant metagenome
Description: partial contains small subunit ribosomal RNA, internal transcribed spacer 1, and 5.8S ribosomal RNA
Source: RNAcentral
CUCCCGUAGGUGAACCUGCGGAAGGAUCAUUAAUGAGUUGUCAUGGGGUUCGAUGCUGGCAGCCAAUUUUUGGAUGCAUGUGCUUGCCCUAACAAUCAUCUUCCAAACACCUGUGCACAUUUUUGAGGGAGUCUUGAGUUGGUUGCCGCUCUUGGGUGAUUUUCUCACAUUCCCUUAAAUCAUUAUACGCUAUUAACAAUGUUGAACGUGCUCUGUGCCGCAAGGCUAUUAAUAUAAUACAACUUUUAACAACGGAUCUCUUGGCUCUC